This 1348-nucleotide long non-coding RNA is filed under the name Lactuca sativa (garden lettuce). RNAcentral describes it as "long non-coding RNA (LSAT_LNC004217)". Lineage: Eukaryota; Viridiplantae; Streptophyta; Magnoliopsida; Asterales; Asteraceae. The record is from RNAcentral.
GCACCCGAACCUACACCAACACCCGAAACAACCCAACCCGAACCUACCCAUACUACUACACCACCAGCUUCACCACCACCACCUUCUCCUGGUCAUGCUUCAGAGGGAGAAGAACCAUUCCUUGGCGGGGAAGAUAUGACGUUUGACUCGGUCUACUAUAGUCCGUUUCAAGUACAGAGUGAUGACGAUGACGACGCUCCUGUCACAAAAAGACAUCUCAAGGAGCUCCAUGACAAGAUUGACUUGCUCAUCGCCUCCUCUUCCACUUCUCAGUCAUCCCUUUCUGAAGAUGCAGUUCAGAAGAUUGUUGACGCCUUCUCUAAAGCUCAGCAAGAUUCCAUUGCUUCUGCAACCUCCGCCAUAGAUGCCUCAACAAAAGCCUGUCAGGCUGCGACCGAAAAAGUCGAUAAACUAUUUUCUGAUGCCUCUUCCCUGUUAAAGUCUUUACAGGAGAGUGCAAAUGCNNNNNNNNNNNNNNNNNNCUGCUGACAGCCGGAUUAUCCAGACGUACAAAGGGUUCAAGCGUUCUGGUCCGAGGGAUCUUACUCCAGAGAUGUUGAAGUCAAUACAUGACGCCGACAAGCCUGCUCCAAGAGGCAAAAAGGCUGAUAAGGGGAAACAGGUGGCAAAAGGAGCAAAAGGCCCAUCUCCAAAGAAGAGGAAACCCACCAAGCCUGCUCAGUCUCCACAGCAAAAGAGGAGAAAAACCCAACCACGACGAAAGUUAAUUAUCGCUUCCUCCUCAAGCGAGUCUGAGGGUGAGAGUUCAGAUUCUGAUGACUCUCCACGUGGCAACACUCCACCCAGAUCUCCUACCCCAGAAGUUCAUGCAUCUACUUCUCCAAUUUCCUCUCCACCUAAAACCAUUCCUAUUUCUAUUCCCCCCAUAACUUCCACUACUUCAAUACCACCCACUUCCAUCCCAAUACCAACACCAAUAUUCACCGACGCAACCACAACAUCCACUGCAGAUGUUAGAGCCAACGUAUCUGAUACGGGGGUUCAUACUGAUGCACCCGAAACCACUCCAGCACCCGAAACCACAAAAGCACCCGAACCUACACCAACACCCGAAACAACCCAACCCGAACCUACCCAUACUACUACACCACCAGCUUCACCACCACCACCUUCUCCUGGUCAUGCUUCAGAGGGAGAAGAACCAUUCCUUGGCGGGGAAGAUAUGACGUUUGACUCGGUCUACUAUAGUCCGUUUCAAGUACAGAGUGAUGACGAUGACGACGCUCCUAUCACAAAAAGACAUCUCAAGGAGCUCCAUGACAAGAUUGACUUGCUCAUCGCUUCCUCUUCCACUUCUCAGUCAUCCCUUUCUGAAGAUGCAGUUCAA